RNAcentral lists this ribosomal RNA (411 nucleotides) under uncultured bacterium. RNAcentral describes it as "bacterial SSU rRNA". It matches the Rfam family "Bacterial small subunit ribosomal RNA", at positions 509 to 918 of the family's 1533-position model. The record is from RNAcentral.
CAGCCGCCGCGGUAAUACGGAGGGUGCAAGCGUUGUUCGGAAUUAUUGGGCGUAAAGCGCGUGUAGGCGGCUCGCUAAGUCUGAUGUGAAAGCCCUGGGCUUAACCUGGGAAGUGCAUUGGAAACUGGCGGACUUGAGUAUGGGAGAGGGAAGUGGAAUUCCGAGUGUAGGGGUGAAAUCCGUAGAUAUUCGGAGGAACACCAGUGGCGAAGGCGGCUUCCUGGACCAAUACUGACGCUGAGACGCGAAAGCGUGGGGAGCAAACAGGAUUAGAUACCCUGGUAGUCCACGCCGUAAACGAUGGGCACUAGGUGUCGCGGGUAUUGACCCCUGCGGUGCCGUAGCUAACGCAUUAAGUGCCCCGCCUGGGGAGUACGGCCGCAAGGCUAAAACUCAAAGGAAUUGACGGGG